RNAcentral lists this ribosomal RNA (441 nucleotides) under uncultured bacterium. Its description in RNAcentral is "partial 16S ribosomal RNA". It matches the Rfam family "Bacterial small subunit ribosomal RNA", at positions 338 to 795 of the family's 1533-position model. The record is from RNAcentral.
CCUACGGGUGGCAGCAGUGGGGAAUCUUGCACAAUGGGGGAAACCCUGAUGCAGCGACGCCGCGUGAGUGAAGAAGUAUUUCGGUAUGUAAAGCUCUAUCAGUAGGGAAGCAGAAAGACGGUAUCUGACUACGAAGCGCCGGCUAACUACGCGCCAGCAGCCGCGGUAAUACGUAGGGGGCAAGCGUUAUCCGGAUUUACUGGGUGUAAAGGGAGCGUAGACGGCUGUGCAAGUCUGAAGUGAAAGCCCAGGGCUCAACCCUGGGACUGCUUUGGACACUGUGGUGCUAGAGUGCUGGAGAGGUAAGUGGAAUUCCUGGUGUAGCAGUGAAAUGCGUAGAUAUUAGGAGGAACACCAGUGGCGAAGGCGGCUUACUGGACAGUAACUGACGUUGAGGCUCGAAGGCGUGGGGAGCAAACAGGAUUAGAUACCCCGGUAGUC